RNAcentral lists this ribosomal RNA (402 nucleotides) under uncultured Rhodospirillaceae bacterium. RNAcentral's name for it is "bacterial SSU rRNA". It matches the Rfam family "Bacterial small subunit ribosomal RNA", at positions 353 to 772 of the family's 1533-position model. Lineage: Bacteria; Pseudomonadati; Pseudomonadota; Alphaproteobacteria; Rhodospirillales; Rhodospirillaceae. The record is from RNAcentral.
AGUGGGGAAUAUUGGACAAUGGGGGAAACCCUGAUCCAGCCAUGCCGCGUGAGUGAAGAAGGCCCUAGGGUUGUAAAGCUCUUUCGACGGGGACGAUGAUGACGGUACCCGUAGAAGAAGCCCCGGCUAACUUCGUGCCAGCAGCCGCGGUAAUACGAAGGGGGCAAGCGUUGUUCGGAUUUACUGGGCGUAAAGGGCGCGUAGGCGGAUUUGCAAGUCAGAGGUGAAAGCCCUGGGCUCAACCCGGGAAUGGCCUUUGAGACUGCAAGUCUUGAGUGCGAGAGAGGGUGGCGGAAUACCCAGUGUAGAGGUGAAAUUCGUAGAUAUUGGGUAGAACACCGGUGGCGAAGGCGGCCACCUGGCUCGCAACUGACGCUGAGGCGCGAAAGCGUGGGGAGCAAA